This is a long non-coding RNA of Asparagus officinalis (garden asparagus), 1447 nucleotides long. RefSeq lists it as uncharacterized. The transcript has 6 exons. The record is from RefSeq and is a predicted model, not a curated record. NCBI's taxonomy places the organism in Eukaryota, Viridiplantae, Streptophyta, Magnoliopsida, Asparagales, Asparagaceae.
UUAUUUCGAUCCCUCUCUGCAAUUCGCUGCUCCCCUCACUCUCUCUCGCCAAAACUGGCCAGCGGCGCCGCCCUCCUCCUCUCAUCCUCGUUCGAGCUCUCUCGCCGCCUCCCUCCCUCUAUCGUUGCCAAAACCUGUGUCGAGCCCUCCCUCCCUCUUUCGUCGCCAAAAGCAGCACCGCCCGCCCUCCCUCUCUCUCGCCAAAACCAGCGCCGUCCAUCUACUCUCGUCGUCGUCGUUAGAGCUCUCUCGCCGCCUCCCUCCCUGUCUUGUCGCCAAAACUAGGGCGCCCUCACUCCCUCUCUCGUCUCCAAAACCAUCGUCGCCCUCCUCCUCGUGUCGUCGUCGUCAUCGUCGGAGCUCUCUCGCCACCUCCUCCUCUCCCCUAAAAACCCUGAUUCGAGCUCCUCCUCCUCCUUCAGUAGUAGACCGACCGCUCGAUUGGACCGCCGCUCAAAGCUCUGUCGCUCCCUCCUCCUCUUCGGUGAAAACCCUAACCCUAAUCCCCCUUUCCAUCAAAAACCUAAUCGCCACUUAAUUUGGCCUUCUCCUCCACUUAAUCGGAGUUCGACCCAGAAGCCUGGAUUCAUUAAUUGGUAUCUUAUUCUAAGAAUUGAUGAGGAUUCAGGGAGUGAUAUGAUCCGAAAGCGAUAUCGCUAGUUGGCAUUGCAGCUUCAUCCAGAUAAGAACAGGCAUCCAAAAGCCGAAGUGGCAUUCAAGCUUAUUUCAGAGAUACGUGAUGUGCUUGCACGAAGAGGGGAAGAUUUACACAUAGAUGUCAAUUUUCUAUCUAGGUCUUAUGUCUUACUGUUAUGUAUCAAUGUUCGGAUCUGAUUAUAAAUGAAUGUGUGUCUUCCUAGUAGUUCUAUUUUUUUGGGAGUCUAUCAUACACUCUCGUAUGGAGCUUUUCAAUGGACAGUAUUAUGAUCGACCAUAGCAUUUCACGUCGAAAUUGACCCCCUUAGUGGUUUUGUAUGGUCAUCGUCCCUUUGCGUAGUAGAAACUAACAUAAAAUUUUCAAACAGGCUGUACAAAGAGUGUUAUUAUAUGACAGGCAUAGAGAUAUGAGGCUUGAUGUUGAUAAUGUCUUAUGAGGCAUUGCCAACAUCAAAUGAGAGAAGAAUAUAUGCACAUUGCAAAAUUAAUUGAAGAUGUCGUUGGUACGACAAUAGCUUGGCCAUCAGACAAAGUUGUUAUGCUUUAAAAAGCUGCAGUACUAGUACUCAAUUUCUGAAGAUGAUGAGUCUCCCAAGUCAUAUGUAAUGCAGCAAAGUUAAUUUUUGUUGUUCUGUGUACUAUGGUUAAUUUCUUGUACUCCAUGUUGGAUUAUCCAAAGACUAGUAUUUGUUUUUUGGCACAUUUGUGUUGACUCUUCUUGUAUGCUACAACUUGGUUAUGUAUCAGUUUGAACCUUUAAAUGAAAUAUUUUCUUUUAUGGUUGUCACAA